This 253-nucleotide ribosomal RNA is filed under the name uncultured bacterium. RNAcentral's name for it is "partial 16S ribosomal RNA". It matches the Rfam family "Bacterial small subunit ribosomal RNA", at positions 524 to 776 of the family's 1533-position model. The record is from RNAcentral.
UACGUAGGGUGCAAGCGUUGUCCGGAAUUAUUGGGCGUAAAGAGCUCGUAGGCGGUCUGUUGCGUCGGCUGUGAAAACCCGAGGCUCAACCUCGGGCCUGCAGCCGAUACGGGCAGACUAGAGUUCGGCAGGGGAGACUGGAAUUCCUGGUGUAGCGGUGAAAUGCGCAGAUAUCAGGAGGAACACCGGUGGCGAAGGCGGGUCUCUGGGCCUGUACUGACGCUGAGGAGCGAAAGCGUGGGGAGCGAACAGG